Molecule: ribosomal RNA, 379 nt
Filed under: uncultured eukaryote
Lineage: Eukaryota
Description: partial 18S ribosomal RNA
Rfam family: Eukaryotic small subunit ribosomal RNA
Source: RNAcentral
CAAUAGCGUAUAUUUAAGUUGUUGCAGUUAAAAAGCUCGUAGUUGGAUUUCGGAUGGGACUUGCCGGUCCGUCGUUGCGAUGUGCACUGGCCAGUCCUAUCUUGUUGUCGGGGACUAGCUCUUGGUCUUCACUGGCCGGGACUAGGAGCUGACGAGGUUACUUUGAGUAAAUUAGAGUGUUCAAAGCAAGCCUACGCUCUGAAUACAUUAGCAUGGAAUAACACGAUAGGACUCUGGCUUAUCUUGUUGGUCUGUGAGACCAGAGUAAUGAUUAAGAGGGACAGUCGGGGACAUUCGUAUUUCAUUGUCAGAGGUGAAAUUCUUGGAUUUAUGAAAGACGAACUUCUGCGAAAGCAUUUGUCAAGGAUGUUUNCAUUAA